GCUACAGGCUUAACACAUGCAAGUCGAGGGGUAGCAGGGUAGCAAUACCGCUGACGACCGGCGCACGGGUGAGUAACACGUAUCCAACCUUCCCAUAACUCGGGGAUAGCCUUUCGAAAGAAAGAUUAAUACCCGAUAGUACUUUUUUAGGGCAUCUUAGAAAAGUUAAAGAUUUAUUGGUUAUGGAUGGGGAUGCGUUCCAUUAGAUAGUUGGUGAGGUAACGGCUCACCAAGUCUUCGAUGGAUAGGGGUUCUGAGAGGAAGGUCCCCCACAUUGGUACUGAGACACGGACCAAACUCCUACGGGAGGCAGCAGUGAGGAAUAUUGGUCAAUGGGCGAGAGCCUGAACCAGCCAAGUAGCGUGAAGGAUGACGG
This 376-nucleotide ribosomal RNA is filed under the name uncultured Bacteroidales bacterium. RNAcentral describes it as "bacterial SSU rRNA". It matches the Rfam family "Bacterial small subunit ribosomal RNA", at positions 39 to 414 of the family's 1533-position model. Lineage: Bacteria; Pseudomonadati; Bacteroidota; Bacteroidia; Bacteroidales. The record is from RNAcentral.